This 497-nucleotide ribosomal RNA is filed under the name uncultured bacterium. RNAcentral's name for it is "partial 16S ribosomal RNA". It matches the Rfam family "Bacterial small subunit ribosomal RNA", at positions 28 to 507 of the family's 1533-position model. The record is from RNAcentral.
GAUGAACGCUGGCGGCGUGCCUAAUACAUGCAAGUCGAGCGAACGGACGAGAUGCUUGCUCCUCUGAUGUUAGCGGCGGACGGGUGAGUAACACGUGGAUAACCUACCUAUAAGACUGGGAUAACUUCGGGAAACCGGAGCUAAUACCGGAUAAUAUCUUGAAACGCAUGGUUCAAAAGUGAAAGACGGUCUUGCAGUCCCUUAUAGAUGGAUCCGCGCUUCAUUAGCUAGUUGGUAAGGUAACGGCUUACCAAGGCAAGGAUGCAUAGCCGACCUGAGAGGGUGAUGGGCCACACUGGAACGGAGACACGGUCCAGACUCCUACGGGAGGCAGCAGUAGGGAACCUUCCGCAAUGGGCGAAAGCCUGACGGAGCACCGCCGCUUGAUUGAUGAAGGUCUUCGGAUCGUAAAACUCUGUUAUUAGGGAAGAACAUAUGUGUAAGUAACUGUGCACAUCUUGACGGUACCUAAUCAGAAAGCCACGGCUAACUACGUG